CUUUACUCAACUAAUGUUUGACAUGGGUUGCGAAUCUCUAGUUUAGAAGUCUGUGAUGUAGACUAUAGAGCAUCUUGAUAAUCUCUGGAUUUUUCAUGGCGGCUGUUCGAAGGAUCUAAAUUCAUGGAGGUGAACGUUUCGUUUCUGGCAACGGGAAUCAGGAUAUCAGAAGUUUUUGAAAUGGUGCAUGAGCGCAAAGAGAAUAUAAUCACUACGUUUUACACGAGCGUAAGUUCCGUAUUUUCUAUGAGAACGUAUGGGGGCAGAGGAUGAGGCUGACCUGCGAGGCGAUGAAUGGAAAGGAUGCGUACUCCGCAUUGCCGGUGGUAAUGAGUAGAGUUUCCUCAUGAAACAGGAUGCCCUUACCAACAGCCGUGUUCGAUUAUUGACUUGAGACGGUGAAAGGAAAUGCAAGUCUGUCUGGGGCUGCAUUGUUGAUGCCUGAUGACCUCUCUGUGUUAGCCCUGGUUGAUGUCCUCAAAGGUGAACAGAGAGCUGACCUCGCUGACCGAGUCCGUCCACCCAUUCUAACUGCUGAACUUGACGCUCACAUAGUGAAUUCCUAUCAGCAGGAUUCCUUCACCAAAACGUCCAUAUUUGCGCUAUAACAUAGUUGCAGUAUGCAAGCCAUAAGGAAGCUGCAUCGUGCUGAAGUGCAACACGGACGGCCAGCUGUGUUAAGAUUAUUUUGGGAUCAGCACAAAAAGAGGCCAGGGUAGGCUACGCUCGCAAAUUUCGAGAUUUUGAUUUUUGAUACGCGAUUUUUUCUGACGAAAUGUAUCGAUCACGCGAACAAGGUCUUCGGAAUUUAUAAUAUAUAUGUACAAUAAUACCAGACAAACUAAGUAACAUCGAUCCAACUUUUAGUCCCAUUAUUGUUAAUAUGUGGGCGUGGAUGACCGCUUUUUGGGCCAGGGGCAAAUGGCGACUCACAAUAUUAUGUCAACUUGCUGGAGGAAGUCAUUCUGCCGACAGUGCGCAUUGUGUACCCACGGUAACAGGAUAAUUUCAGAGCAUUGUGUUGCGUUGUGCGCGUUUAAUUGGCUCCUUUAGUAAACCAAAGUAGACUACACCCUGGCCCUCUCAAUCCCCGGACUUAAAAUUUAUUUUUCUAUGGGAAAUAUAUGGGCCCAUAAUGGUUCAAAGAUGGGGCUUUGGGGACGAACGAACGAAAGCAGCGCCCGUAACCCAUAUUAAAAUUAGUUUUUUUAUUAAAAUAAUGAUGUGUUAUUUUUGAUUAAAUUGUUUUUAAAAUCA
Molecule: long non-coding RNA, 1257 nt
Organism: Manduca sexta (tobacco hornworm)
Lineage: Eukaryota; Metazoa; Arthropoda; Insecta; Lepidoptera; Sphingidae
Exons: 4
Source: RefSeq, a predicted model, not a curated record